CAGUCGCCGCGGUAAUGCGAAGGGGGCUAGCGUUGCUCGGAAUGACUGGGCGUAAAGGGCGCGUAGGCGGCGAUCAAAGUCAGGCGUGAAAUUCCUGGGCUCAACCUGGGGGCUGCGCUUGAUACUUGGUUGCUUGAGUGGGGAAGAGGGUCGUGGAAUUCCCAGUGUAGGGGUGAAAUUCGUAGAUAUUGGGAAGAACACCGGUGGCGAAGGCGGCGACCUGGUCCUUGACUGACGCUGAGGCGCGAAAGCGUGGGGAGCAAACAGGAUUAGAUACCCCCGUAGUCCCUGUCUCUUAUAC
This 301-nucleotide ribosomal RNA is filed under the name uncultured bacterium. Its description in RNAcentral is "partial 16S ribosomal RNA". It matches the Rfam family "Bacterial small subunit ribosomal RNA", at positions 509 to 807 of the family's 1533-position model. The record is from RNAcentral.